AGAGUUUGAUCCUGGCUCAGGAUGAACGCUAGCUACAGGCUUAACACAUGCAAGUCGAGGGGCAGCAUAAACUUAGCUUGCUAAGUUUGAUGGCGACCGGCGCACGGGUGAGUAACGCGUAUCCAACCUUCCGUACACUCAGGGAUAGCCUUUCGAAAGAAAGAUUAAUACCUGAUGGUAUGAUGAGAUUGCAUGAUAGCAUCAUUAAAGAUUUAUCGGUGUACGAUGGGGAUGCGUUCCAUUAGGUAGUAGGCGGGGUAACGGCCCACCUAGCCAACGAUGGAUAGGGGUUCUGAGAGGAAGGUCCCCCACAUUGGAACUGAGACACGGUCCAAACUCCUACGGGAGGCAGCAGUGAGGAAUAUUGGUCAAUGGACGAGAGUCUGAACCAGCCAAGUAGCGUGAAGGAUGAAGGUCCUACGGAUUGUAAACUUCUUUUAUAAGGGAAUAAACCCUCCCACGUGUGGGAGCUUGUAUGUACCUUAUGAAUAAGCAUCGGCUAACUCCGUGCCAGCAGCCGCGGUAAUACGGAGGAUGCGAGCGUUAUCCGGAUUUAUUGGGUUUAAAGGGAGCGUAGGCGGAUUGUUAAGUCAGUUGUGAAAGUUUGCGGCUCAACCGUAAAAUUGCAGUUGAUACUGGCAGUCUUGAGUGCAGUAGAGGUGGGCGGAAUUCGUGGUGUAGCGGUGAAAUGCUUAGAUAUCACGAAGAACUCCGAUUGCGAAGGCAGCUCACUGGAGUGUAACUGACGCUGAUGCUCGAAAGUGUGGGUAUCAAACAGGAUUAGAUACCCUGGUAGUCCACACAGUAAACGAUGAAUACUCGCUGUUUGCGAUAUACAGUAAGCGGCCAAGCGAAAGCAUUAAGUAUUCCACCUGGGGAGUACGCCGGCAACGGUGAAACUCAAAGGAAUUGACGG
RNAcentral lists this ribosomal RNA (916 nucleotides) under uncultured bacterium. RNAcentral describes it as "bacterial SSU rRNA". It matches the Rfam family "Bacterial small subunit ribosomal RNA", at positions 8 to 916 of the family's 1533-position model. The record is from RNAcentral.